RNAcentral lists this ribosomal RNA (532 nucleotides) under uncultured bacterium. Its description in RNAcentral is "bacterial SSU rRNA". It matches the Rfam family "Bacterial small subunit ribosomal RNA", at positions 1 to 523 of the family's 1533-position model. The record is from RNAcentral.
UAGAGUUUGAUCCUGGCUCAGAAUCAACGCUGGCGGCGUGCCUAACACAUGCAAGUCGAACGCGGUUAGUAGCAAUACUAACUGAGUGGCGAACGGGUGAGUAACACGUGGGUGACCUACCUUCGAGUGGGGGAUAACGUCCCGAAAGGGACGCUAAUACCGCAUAACAUCCUGCCUUUGAACAGGCGGUGAUCAAAGCCGGGGACCGUAAGGCCCGGCGCUUGAUGAGGGGCCCGCGUCUGAUUAGCUAGUUGGUGAGGUAAUGGCCCACCAAGGCGACGAUCAGUAUCCGGCCUGAGAGGGCGGACGGACACACUGGGACUGAGACACGGCCCAGACUCCUACGGGAGGCAGCAGUGGGGAAUUGUUCACAAUGGGCGCAAGCCUGAUGACGCAACGCCGCGUGGAGGAUGAAGGUCUUCGGAUUGUAAACUCCUGUUGCCCGGGACGAAAAGCUCUGACCUAACACGUCGGAGUCUGACGGUACCGGGUGAGGAAGCCCCGGCUAACUCUGUGCCAGCAGCCCCGGUCA